CCUACGGGUGGCAGCAGUGGGGAAUAUUGGGCAAUGGAGGCAACUCUGACCCAGCAAAGCCGCGUGAAUGAAGAAGGUCUUCGGAUUGUAAAGUUCUUUAAUCAGGGACGAAAAAGAUGACGGUACCUGAGGCGUAAGCCACGGCAGACUACGUGCCAUCAGCCGCGGUAAUACAUGGGUGGCAAGCGUUGUCCCGAAUGCCUGGGCGUAAAGGGAGCGUAGGCGGUCUGUUAAGUUGGAAGUGAAAUCCCGGGGCUCAACCCCGGAACUGCCUUCAAGACUGACGGACUUGAGUGUAAGAGGGGUAAGCGGAAUGCCUAGUGUAGCGGUGGAAUGCGUAGAUAUUAGGAGGAACACCAGUGGCGAAGGCGGCUUACUGGAUUAUAACUGACGCUGAGGCUCGAAAGCGUGGGUAGCAAACAGGAUUAGAUACCCUAGUAGUC
Molecule: ribosomal RNA, 443 nt
Filed under: uncultured bacterium
Lineage: Bacteria
Description: partial 16S ribosomal RNA
Rfam family: Bacterial small subunit ribosomal RNA
Source: RNAcentral